Long non-coding RNA from Daphnia pulicaria, 539 nucleotides. RefSeq lists it as uncharacterized. The transcript has 2 exons. The record is from RefSeq and is a predicted model, not a curated record. NCBI's taxonomy places the organism in Eukaryota, Metazoa, Arthropoda, Branchiopoda, Diplostraca, Daphniidae.
AACAGUACACAACAGCAGCAGUAGCAUAUGUGAAUUUCAUUUUCGCUCGACGGAGCUUUCUUGGAAACAGUUUCUUGCUUGCAGCCGAGACUCGAGAGAGGUGCUGGUGGAAAGGAGCGCGGGGGGGUUGGAGUCGAGUUUCACCGACUUGUCGCAAUUCGAUCCACUCGCCUACGACUCUGCUCGUCGUCGUCCAUAUAAUGAAGCCAAGCGACUUGAUGAAAUGUCGUCAAAAAGAAUUUUCGGAAUGUUUUUUUUAUUUUCCUUGGUGGGGGGGCACGUCGUUCAUCAUCCCGCGACCACUUGUUUGUUGACUCGCAACUCUAUUUCAAUGGCCUUCUUAUUUAUUUUUCAUUUGCUUUUUAUUUUUACGAUUUAUAAGCGACGGGACUAUUCAUGUCUUUCAGUUUGUUUAUUUUCAGACGUGAUGAUUUAUCGCGACUCGAUUUCAACAAAUCGCGCGAACGUGAGCGAAAUUCUUUUUCGGUUAAAACACGAAGUGAUUAGACGGUAAUUGGAGAAUUAAGCGCAUAAAAAUU